UAGAGUGUAAAGGCAUAAGGGAGCUUGACUGCGAGACCUACAAGUCGAGCAGGGUCGAAAGACGGACUUAGUGAUCCGGUGGUUCCGCAUGGAAGGGCCAUCGCUCAACGGAUAAAAGCUACCCCGGGGAUAACAGGCUUAUCUCCCCCAAGAGUUCACAUCGACGGGGAGGUUUGGCACCUCGAAGUCGGCUCAUCGCAUCCUGGGGCUGUAGUCGGUCCCAAGGGUUGGGCUGUUCGCCCAUUAAAGCGGUACGCGAGCUGGGUUCAGAACGUCGUGAGACAGUUCGGUCCCUAUCCGUCGUGGGCGUAGUAAAUUUGAGAGGAGCUGUCCUUAGUACGAGAGGACCGGGAUGGACAUACCUCUGGUGUACCAGUUGUC
Molecule: ribosomal RNA, 381 nt
Filed under: Staphylococcus epidermidis
Lineage: Bacteria; Bacillati; Bacillota; Bacilli; Caryophanales; Staphylococcaceae
Description: bacterial LSU rRNA
Rfam family: Bacterial large subunit ribosomal RNA
Source: RNAcentral